AGAAAAACAAUUUUCAUAAUAUGAGUGAAAAUAGGGGAUUCCCAAGGGAGCAAAAUUCAAGGUCAAUAAAAAAAUAAAAAUCAGAAAACCUUUCACCUUUUAUUAUCUAGUUUCUCAAGCUCUUUACAGAUUCUGUUCUCAUGUGCUUCAACUUCCCUCGCAAUUCUAUUUUCAUCACUCUACGAGAAGAAAAAUGAUAUAUGAAAUAGAUAAUACAUAAAAUCAGAAUCAUGGAAGGAAAUAGACAAUAUAAAAAGCAUAUUCUACGAAGCUAGACACCUUGCGCUUCCUAUUGUAUUGUAUAUCAGCAUCAUUAUUCAAGGUUUGCCCAGCGGAAAACAUAUAUGAAUCUUCAGAUCAUAAAACCGGAUGGCAAAGAGACUGAGUAUUUCUCCCAUUUGU
RNAcentral lists this long non-coding RNA (402 nucleotides) under Durio zibethinus. Its description in RNAcentral is "long non-coding RNA (DZIB_LNC001591)". The record is from RNAcentral. Lineage: Eukaryota; Viridiplantae; Streptophyta; Magnoliopsida; Malvales; Malvaceae.